RNAcentral lists this long non-coding RNA (1199 nucleotides) under Sarcophilus harrisii (Tasmanian devil). Its description in RNAcentral is "lncRNA (ENSSHAG00000030850.1)". The record is from RNAcentral. Lineage: Eukaryota; Metazoa; Chordata; Mammalia; Dasyuromorphia; Dasyuridae.
GCGAACAUGCCAAGUUCUGCCGGCAUCUGCAGCCCAGCAGCUCUUCCUAAGGCCCUGGGGUCCCCCCUCGCUCACACCCCGGAGUGCCCCCGCCCCCGACUGCACCAGCUGGGCACCGACGCAGCCAGAAUGGAGGGGGCUGGCAUGUUGGCAGGACCACCCCCGAGGGUGCCCAAGGGCACAGCAGCGCUCCAGCUGGGUGAGGGCGGUGGAAGGAGCCCGGCUCUCCGGGACUAACAGCCGGCUCCCUGCCUGAGCACGAUUAGGGAACAGCCUCACUGGCAGCGGCCCUGGACCCAAACACAGGAAGCCGGGACGGCUGGCAGCAGGCUAUCCACAGGACCAGCGAGUCACGCCACUGUUCUGGCCUCAGCUUCUCCAUCCGCAAAAUGGGAGAUUGGGGAAGCAAACAAUCUGCCCACCAGGCUGACGGACUCCUCCCACUGCAGACAAUCCCAGACAAAGCUAGAACAAUCUCCCUUCCCCGCGCCCCCAAAUCCACCCUGCUCAGGGGACGCUGACCUCACCCCCCUGCCACUUUGUUCCCCCACUUCUCCCACACAGUCGCGACCAGUGGCCCCCACCUCAUCCCCCAGGCUUCCUGCCAGUCCACGCCAACCUGAUAUGAAGAGCGGGGGGCAGGAGCCCCCGCAGGUGCCCAGGUGCCAGCCUCUCAGGAGGCCUUCGGCCAAGCCCAUACCACGGUCCCCAGGCCCCACGGUGGGAAGCAUCUGGGUCAGGAGCAGUGGCUCAGCUUCCCACCCACCAUGAGGGGGCCCCGGCGGCACCGGACACAAGGGCAAGGAUGGGCCCGCUGAGGCAGAAACUCCGGCCGGGCAGGGACCUGACCAAGGACACCCCGGCUUCAUGGAGAGGCCGGAAGACUAAGGUUGAGCCCAUGGGAGCCCCCAGUGCUUCCCCACCUUUCCGGGGACUGCAGAGAGCUCGCAGGUAGGUGCUUCCAUGUGCUACAUCCCCAAUGCCCCAGAGGGCCAAGAAGCCGAGGGGGUGGAGCCGGAUCUGCAAGUGGGGUCUGCCCCUCAGGGCCCUGGCUCAGCUGGUCUCUGCCUCCGGGAUUUCGCACAGUCCCACCUGCGCCCUGGGUCACCGUGCUCCCAGAGGUCUCUCCGCUCCCAGAGGUCUCUCCGCUCCCAGAGGCCGCCCCGCUCCCAGAGACCUCCCCGCUCCCAGAGGCCGCC